GGGUUGUGAGGUUAAGCGACUAAGCGUACACGGUGGAUGCCCUGGCAGUCAGAGGCGAUGAAGGACGUGCUAAUCUGCGAUAAGCGUCGGUGAGGUGAUAUGAACCGUUAUAACCGGCGAUUUCCGAAUGGGGAAACCCAGUGUGUUUCGACACACUAUCAUUAACUGAAUCCAUAGGUUAAUGAGGCGAA
RNAcentral lists this ribosomal RNA (191 nucleotides) under Escherichia coli. RNAcentral's name for it is "partial 23S ribosomal RNA". It matches the Rfam family "Bacterial large subunit ribosomal RNA", at positions 1 to 183 of the family's 2925-position model. Lineage: Bacteria; Pseudomonadati; Pseudomonadota; Gammaproteobacteria; Enterobacterales; Enterobacteriaceae. The record is from RNAcentral.